Molecule: ribosomal RNA, 497 nt
Filed under: uncultured bacterium
Lineage: Bacteria
Description: bacterial SSU rRNA
Rfam family: Bacterial small subunit ribosomal RNA
Source: RNAcentral
AGAGUUGAUCAUGGCUCAGAACGAACGCUGGUGGCGUGUCUUAUACAUGCAAGUCGAGCGAGGCAGCAAUGCCGAGCGGCGAACGGGUGAGUAACGCGUAAGCAAUCUGCCCCAUAUCAGGAAAUACCCGUGCCAACGCGCGGUUAAUGUCCAGGAGAGUGGCUCCUUGCAUGAGGAGUUGACUAGAGAUUUAUCGGUAUGGGAUGAGCUUGCGUCCGAUUAGCUAGUUGGCGGGGCAACGGCCCACCAAGGCGACGAUCGGUAGCCGGCCUGAGAGGGUGAUCGGCCACAUUGGGACUGAGAUACGGCCCAGACUCCUACGGGAGGCAGCAGUAGGGAAUAUUGCACAAUGGGGGAAACCCUGAUGCAGCAACGCCACGUGUGGGAAGAAGCAUUUCGGUGUGUAAACCACUGUCAUGAGGGAAUAAGGCCCGCUUUCGGGCGGGAUUGAAUGUACCUUGAGAGGAAGCACCGGCAAACUUCGUGCCAGCAGCUGC